UACGAAGGGGGCUAGCGUUGCUCGGAAUGACUGGGCGUAAAGGGCGCGUAGGCGGCUUGCACCGUCAGAUGUGAAAUUCCUGGGCUUAACCUGGGGGCUGCAUUUGAUACGUGUGGGCUUGAGUGCGGAAGAGGGUCGUGGAAUUCCCAGUGUAGAGGUGAAAUUCGUAGAUAUCGAGAGGAACACCUGCGGCGAAGGCGGGUUGCUGGGCUGAUACUGGCGCUGAUGCGCGAAAGCCAGGGGAGCGAACGGG
This 253-nucleotide ribosomal RNA is filed under the name uncultured bacterium. RNAcentral's name for it is "partial 16S ribosomal RNA". It matches the Rfam family "Bacterial small subunit ribosomal RNA", at positions 524 to 776 of the family's 1533-position model. The record is from RNAcentral.